CACAUGCAGUCGAACGAAGCCUUCGGGCUUAGUGGCGCACGGGUGCGUAACGCGUGGGAAUCUGCCCUUGGGUUCGGAAUAACAGUGAGAAAUUACUGCUAAUACCGGAUGAUGUCUUCGGACCAAAGAUUUAUCGCCCAGGGAUGAGCCCGCGUUAGAUUAGCUAGUUGGUGGGGUAAUGGCCUACCAAGGCGACGAUCUAUAGCUGGUCUGAGAGGAUGAUCAGCCACACUGGGACUGAGACACGGCCCAGACUCCUACGGGAGGCAGCAGUGGGGAAUAUUGGACAAUGGGCGAAAGCCUGAUCCAGCAAUGCCGCGUGAGUGAUGAAGGCCUUAGGGUUGUAAAGCUCUUUUACCAGGGAUGAUAAUGACAGUACCUGGAGAAUAAGCUCCGGCUAACUCCGUGCCAGCAGCCGCGGUAAUACGGAGGGAGCUAGCGUUGUUCGGAAUUACUGGGCGUAAAGCGCGCGUAGGCGGUGACUCAAGUCAGAGGUGAAAGCCCGGGGCUCAACCCCGGAACUGCCUUUGAAACUAGGUCGCUAGAAUCUUGGAGAGGCGAGUGGAAUUCCGAGUGUAGAGGUGAAAUUCGUAGAUAUUCGGAAGAACACCAGUGGCGAAGGCGACUCGCUGGACAAGUAUUGACGCUGAGGUGCGAAAGUGUGGGGAGCAAACAGGAUUAGAUACCCUGGUAGUCCACACCGUAAACGAUGAUAACUAGCUGUCCGGGCUCUUGGAGUUUGGGUGGCGCAGCUAACGCAUUAAGUUAUCCGCCUGGGGAGUACGGUCGCAAGAUUAAAA
RNAcentral lists this ribosomal RNA (800 nucleotides) under Novosphingobium sp. RNAcentral describes it as "bacterial SSU rRNA". It matches the Rfam family "Bacterial small subunit ribosomal RNA", at positions 52 to 899 of the family's 1533-position model. The record is from RNAcentral. Lineage: Bacteria; Pseudomonadati; Pseudomonadota; Alphaproteobacteria; Sphingomonadales; Sphingomonadaceae.